RNAcentral lists this ribosomal RNA (296 nucleotides) under uncultured Pseudomonadota bacterium. RNAcentral's name for it is "uncultured proteobacterium partial 16S ribosomal RNA". It matches the Rfam family "Bacterial small subunit ribosomal RNA", at positions 146 to 458 of the family's 1533-position model. Lineage: Bacteria; Pseudomonadati; Pseudomonadota. The record is from RNAcentral.
ACAGUUGGAAACGACUGCUAAUACCGUAUACGCCCUCCGGGGGAAAGGUCAGCCGCUGAAAGAGGGGCCCGCGUCUGAUUAGCUUGUUGGUAGGGUAAAAGCCUACCAAGGCUACGAUCAGUAGCUGGUCUGAGAGGAUGAUCAGCCACACUGGGACUGAGACACGGCCCAGACUCCUACGGGAGGCAGCAGUCGGGAAUAUUGGACAAUGGAGGAAACUCUGAUCCAGCAAUGCCGCGUGUGUGAUGAAGGCCCUAGGGUUGUAAAGCACUUUCAACGGUGAAGAUGAUGACGGU